Molecule: ribosomal RNA, 341 nt
Filed under: Chaceus turikensis
Lineage: Eukaryota; Metazoa; Arthropoda; Malacostraca; Decapoda; Pseudothelphusidae
Description: partial 16S ribosomal RNA
Rfam family: Archaeal large subunit ribosomal RNA (bases 1-175)
Source: RNAcentral
UAGCCUGCCCAAUGAAAUAAUUAAAAAGAUUUAAAUGGCCGCGGUAUUUAUGACCGUGCAAAGGUAGCAUAAUCAUUAGCCUUUUAAUUGUAGGCUUGUAUGAAUGGCUGGACAAAAGAAGGACUGUCUAUACUUUAAUAAAAAUUGAAUUUAACUUUUAAGUGAAAAGGCUUAAAUGAUUCAGUGGGACGAUAAGACCCUAUAAAACUUUAUAAAAAUAAUAGUUAGUUGAAAAUUAAAAAAUUAGCUUUUAAAAUUUAUUGGGUUGGGGUAACUUAAGUAUAAUUACUAUUAACUGCUUGAUAUAAAGACAAGAAUAUUUGAAUUGAAAUUAAAUGAUC